This 492-nucleotide ribosomal RNA is filed under the name uncultured bacterium. RNAcentral's name for it is "partial 16S ribosomal RNA". It matches the Rfam family "Bacterial small subunit ribosomal RNA", at positions 29 to 507 of the family's 1533-position model. The record is from RNAcentral.
AGCGAACGCUGGCGGUAGGCCUAACACAUGCAAGUCGAACGGCAGCACAGUAAGAGCUUGCUCUUACGGGUGGCGAGUGGCGGACGGGUGAGGAAUACAUCGGAAUCUACUUUUUCGGGGGGGAUAACGUAGGGAAACUUACGCUAAUACCGCAUACGACCUACGGGUGAAAGCAGGGGAUCUUCGGACCUUGCGCGAUUGAAUGAGCCGAUGUCGGAUUAGCUAGUUGGCGGGGUAAAGGCCCACCAAGGCGACGAUCCGUAGCUGGUCUGAGAGGAUGAUCAGCCACACUGGAACUGAGACACGGUCCAGACUCCUACGGGAGGCAGCAGUGGGGAAUAUUGGACAAUGGGCGCAAGCCUGAUCCAGCCAUACCGCGUGGGUGAAGAAGGCCUUCGGGUUGUAAAGCCCUUUUGUUGGGAAAGAAAAGCAGCAGGUUAAUACCCCGCUGUUCUGACGGUACCCAAAGAAUAAGCACCGGCUAACUUCGUG